GACGAACGCUGGCGGCGUGCCUAAUACAUGCAAGUCGAGCGAAGUUUUUCUGGUGCUUGCACUAGAAAAACUUAGCGGCGAACGGGUGAGUAACACGUAAAGAACCUGCCUCAUAGACUGGGACAACUGUUGGAAACGAUAGCUAAUACCGGAUAACAGUAUUUCUCGCAUGGGAGAUAUUUAAAAGUUGGUUAUGCUAACACUAUGAGAUGGCUUUGCGGUGCAUUAGCUAGUUGGUGGGGUAAAGGCCCACCAAGGCGACGAUGCAUAGCCGACCUGAGAGGGUGAUCGGCCACACUGGGACUGAGACACGGCCCAGACUCCUACGGGAGGCAGCAGUAGGGAAUCUUCCGCAAUGGGCGAAAGCCUGACGGAGCAACGCCGCGUGAGUGAAGAAGGAUUUCGGUUCGUAAAGCUCUGUUGUUAGGGAAGAAUGGAUAUGUAGUAACUAUACAUGUAAGAGACGGUACCUAACCAGAAAGCCACGGCUAACUACGUG
RNAcentral lists this ribosomal RNA (499 nucleotides) under uncultured bacterium. RNAcentral describes it as "partial 16S ribosomal RNA". It matches the Rfam family "Bacterial small subunit ribosomal RNA", at positions 28 to 507 of the family's 1533-position model. The record is from RNAcentral.